Coturnix japonica (Japanese quail) is the source of this 2027-nucleotide non-coding RNA. NCBI's taxonomy places the organism in Eukaryota, Metazoa, Chordata, Aves, Galliformes, Phasianidae. The record is from RefSeq and is a predicted model, not a curated record.
CAAUUCUACUGUGGGACCAGAAGGGGUGGAGCCUGUCUGCACCUCUGUUAGAUCCCCAUUUAAGGCCCGACUGCCACUAUGGAAAGACAUCUGAUUGGAGAUUUCUCUUCUGAGGAGUUUUCCUUAUAAGCCUCAAUCUUCAGAGAUGGGGCUAGAAGCUGCACCAGAGGAAAGGCUCCCUCCAGAAGAAAGAAACGAGAGAGGAAAAAACUGCUGCCUCCUUUCUGGGGAUUGAAAUGGAGCCAUGGUGGUCCUAUGGUCUGACCGGAGAAAGCCUACAGUACAGCCAGUAUUUUACCAUCCCAGAAGCUGAAGUGAGUUCAGAGGAUAGAUAUUGCUUCCUUCUGCCAACAGUUGUGCUGCAAAGAGGGCUGUCCCUGUGCUUAUCCUGACAGAAACAUCAAAUUGAGAGAGUUUGGAGAAGCUGAAAUUUUUAUGGUUGUGAAGCAUUCUGGUAUCCAUGCCCUCAUUCUGUUUAAAUCAGGACACUCCAACUCUAGCCUCUUUGCUAACAGACCAUAGCUUUCUCAUCCCCAAGCUCUGUAUCUUGCAGAGCCACUCGAGGCCUUUCUCAAAACAAAUCUUGCUCAGGGAUUAGGCCCUGAGAUCCAGUUGAGCACAGUUCAUUUUCUUUUAAAUGCAUUCAGUGGAUAUUCCAAAGCAGUUUUUGAUGGUAGACAUCUGUGCUGCUCACACACACCCAGGACAGCUCAGAGCAGGAUUGUCUGUGCUCAGAACUGAUGGUUGGUAGCAACUCUCAAAGCCCUGAACACUGCAUAGCAGCAGAAGCUGUCACUGCCAGAACUUUCUUCACUGCAGGGAGCUCUGUAAGUAACAUUCAGCCUAAUUUAGAAGAAAAAUGAGUUGAAUUUGCAGCAAGAGUGACUUUUCUAUAGUAGCCAAUGAAGUGGUGCUCCAGGCAGUGCUAAGAUCUCACCUGGGGCUGUGUGCAGUGACUGUGGGGACUGGGAUGGAAAUUGUUGGACAUAAAGGACAGGCUCAGAGUUGGUGAUGGAAACACAGCACAGUGGAUCACUUGCCAGGAAAUCAAGUGUUGCUUUAUCCCUCUGGAGUCAGGACUGGCUUCUUUUCUGAUAUAUUUACUAAUUUAUUUAGCUUUCCUAAUUCAUUUAUUGCCAGGUACAGAACAGUCCUUGUCUAAAAGUUCUUGUGUUUAAAGUGUCUUUAGGUUUCUCCACUGUUUUAUGCCUUCAUAACAGGUGCUUUCUAUUGCCCUCCCUGUAAGCCACUGUGGGACCUGUGACAAGUGCAUGCUGAUGCUGUAAUACUGCAAGUCUGUUUUGAUUUGAAGCAGAAGAAUCAGACAGUGUAAAGAGAUUUCAGCAGCAGAACACCGUAACUCUACUCUCUGUCUUAUUUUCCUCAGCAGAGUGGAGCAAACAGUGAGCACUGUUUUGAAUUUUAAGCCCAAACCACGAAUUUCAGGGAUAUAAAAUGAUUUGAUAUGAAGGGAUCCUUACAGCCCCGCUCCUGCUGUGGGAACAAAAGAACCUCAGAAUCACAAAGGGAAGCCAGAAAAGCUUAGUUAAGCCCUAAUGAUUGCUGAAGGAAACCAGUAAAACUAAAAGGGGGAACGAGCCCCACUAUAAAGCCACCCACCCGCUCCCACCUGAUGGGGCUGCUCUGUGGCCUGUGGUUUUGAGUGCCCCAUCCUGCCCCUCCCGAGGGGAUGCAGUGGCAGAGGUUUUGCUGUCUUUUGCAGGGCAGAGGGACCGCUUGGCAGGAAAUGAAUUUCCCAGUCGGCAUUAACUGGGGAGAAAAACUGGUCAUGGAGUUUCCCACAGCUGCACCGAAGCAAAAUAAGUCAUGCAAACACGUGGAAGUGUUCAGAACUGUGGGCCUUUCAUGGCACCUUCUGACUGCACAGGAUGUCCUUCUGAACCAAUGUCUCACCUCUUCUUCACCAGCCUGGUGUCCAGGCAUCCCCCCAUCUGCUGCUUUUGCAUAUAUAUGGUUGUUCCUUUGAGUUUCUCAGCCCUGCAGCUGGGAUUGUCAUUAACUGGUGU